UAAGUCUCCAUUCCAAUAUCGAAAGCUAAGUCCCCAGGAGAAUGAUUCCCGAUAACAUUGUAUACUGAUCAUUCCAGAGAACUUUACCAACAAAAUCAUGGGAAAUCAUAUGGAUUUCCACAUCAUACCGUGGAAGAUCAAGCCAAAAGCUAAGAACUGAAUCCCAAAAAGAAGACUGGAAGUUUGCCAUUAUUCGAGAAGUUGAUCUUCAGAUGUCUCUGAAAUCAUUCACCUUCUAUAUUGACUGUGCAGGUUAUCUUGCAUUCAAGAACAAGCUAAAACAUAAAAUCCUCAGGGGACGUCCAAAUUUGAUGUUCUUUCCAUUCAACAAAUCACUCCAACAGGCUCCAUGUAAACUGAACUUCUCAUAACUCAUCCCACGUACAGCAAAUUCUCAACUACCAUUCUCUUUUUAACUGCUGAUUCACAAU
Long non-coding RNA from Rhodamnia argentea, 431 nucleotides. RefSeq lists it as uncharacterized. NCBI's taxonomy places the organism in Eukaryota, Viridiplantae, Streptophyta, Magnoliopsida, Myrtales, Myrtaceae. The record is from RefSeq and is a predicted model, not a curated record. The transcript has 2 exons.